RNAcentral lists this ribosomal RNA (477 nucleotides) under uncultured bacterium. RNAcentral's name for it is "bacterial SSU rRNA". It matches the Rfam family "Bacterial small subunit ribosomal RNA", at positions 30 to 507 of the family's 1533-position model. The record is from RNAcentral.
UUGAACGCUGGCGGCAUGCCUUACACAUGCAAGUCGAACGGCAGCACGGGAGCAAUCCUGGUGGCGAGUGGCGAACGGGUGAGUAAUAUAUCGGAACGUGCCCAGUCGUGGGGGAUAACGCAGCGAAAGCUGUGCUAAUACCGCAUACGAUCUAUGGAUGAAAGCGGGGGAUCGCAAGACCUCGCGCGAUUGGAGCGGCCGAUAUCAGAUUAGCUAGUUGGUGGGUAAAGGCUCACCAAGGCGACGAUCUGUAGCUGGUCUGAGAGGACGACCAGCCACACUGGAACUGAGACACGGUCCAGACUCCUACGGGAGGCAGCAGUGGGGAAUAUUGGUCAAUGGGCGAAAGCCUGAACCAGCCAUGUCGCGUGAAGGAUGAAGGUCCUAUGGAUUGUAAACUUCUUUUGCAGGAGGGUAAAGUGAGCUACGUGUAGUUCAUUGCAAGUACCCUGCGAAUAAGCAUCGGCUAACUCCGUG